CAGAAAGGGUUUUCCCAGAGCGUUCUUUCUCUGACACGAGGGCUCAUUAAAUAACUUACCGCAGAACUUAGUGUUUCACUUGGUGUUUUAUACCAUUUGGCUGAAGCCAAAUGCUUCAGCACACACUCCAUAGCUCCCCGCAAAAGCCGGGUUUCCAAUAGAGUUCAUAUAAAUGGGUUGGGGGAAGCCAACCUGCGAAAUGAAGCGGUGGACUAGCCGGAAGAGACGCCCGGCCGAUGGUGUUGCUCUAGCAUGCACAAUGGGCUCUAUUUUAAUAACAAGAACUUCUGCUUUCUGCUUCCGGAAAGGCCCCGCGGGGAGCAAUCGACGAAGUGAAACUGCUUCUAACCCUUCUCUGGGGCCCUAGCUUCAAGGUGUGAACUGAUCCUGUUGACUAGGUGCGACUCUGGAUCCUAGCAUUGCAGCUUUGAGAUGCUGAGAUGUUGACAUCCAGUUCUGAGGAGAAAGAGACUGAAUCCACCACUACGUGGGGCUCAGCGUGGCUCCUCACCACAAGAUGAAUGGAUUUGGGAUUAUUAGGAGGAGCACUCUUAACAUGAAGAUUAACACAGUCUGGAAGGCACUUCAUUCGGCAAUAUCAAUGGUGCAAGGCUCCUUCCUGGACCUUGACAGGCCCCAGGCUAGCCCCCUGAGAUAGCUGAAGUGGAGUAGACUGUGGUAGCACCAGACCAUGAGUGUGGCUGACGGUGUGGAGUGUGAGCAUGUGCAAGGCCCCUUGGGGUCUCAUACAAGUAUUCAUGGGGACCGAGAAUGAGGCUCCUUGAUGUUGAUGAGCCUUCUCUGUAGCCACAGGCAGUGAGGACUGACAGCAUUCAGGUUAUACACCAAAUCAUGCCAAUUGCUCUUGUGCAACAAUAUCCUUCCAUCCAAGAACAAGGUCCAGCAGGACAGUAGUUAGUUUCCAAGCUCAUGGGAGGCUGAAUAGCAGAAAAGAUAUGAAAGCCAGCUCUAUAAUCAGACUGCCUGGGUUUCUCACUAUAAUCAGACUAACCAUGAAACCUUAACCUUUUGAUACCUUGGGUAUCAAAAUACCCAAGAGAAUAAUAAUAAAAUGUAAUUCAUAGGUCUAUGAGAAUUAACAAGUAAAACUCAUGACAGCCUUAGAACAGUGACAGACAUGUAUAAACCCCAAGAAAGGUCAGCAGUUUGUAUUAUUACACAA
Molecule: long non-coding RNA, 1183 nt
Organism: Bos taurus (domestic cattle)
Lineage: Eukaryota; Metazoa; Chordata; Mammalia; Artiodactyla; Bovidae
Source: Ensembl